This 253-nucleotide ribosomal RNA is filed under the name uncultured bacterium. RNAcentral describes it as "partial 16S ribosomal RNA". It matches the Rfam family "Bacterial small subunit ribosomal RNA", at positions 524 to 776 of the family's 1533-position model. The record is from RNAcentral.
GACGUAGGGUGCGAGCGUUGUCCGGAUUUAUUGGGCGUAAAGAGCUCGUAGGCGGCUCGUCGCGUCGACCGUGAAAACCCGCGGCUUAACUGCGGGCUUGCGGUUGAUACGGGCGGGCUAGAGUUCGGUAGGGGAGACUGGAAUUCCUGGUGUAGCGGUGAAAUGCGCAGAUAUCAGGAGGAACACCGAUGGCGAAGGCAGAUCUCUGGGCCGAUACUGACGCUGAGGAGCGAAAGCGUGGGGAGCGAACAGG